GGAGUAUUGCCAGCCUGUUCUGAGAUGGCCUUAGGCUAAUGUAUCCUAGAGCUAAUCAACAUAUUUUUAGCUCUUUUGUAAAUCAGACCCACAAUCAUUCUGGUUGAUACGCUAAAGGAACCUGUAGGCAACUGUCAGGACUUUUGCAACUCACCCAAGGUAUAUUCUCAGGAUCCUCUCUAAUUACCUUAAGGAUAAAUAAAUGAGCCAAAUGCAGUUGACUACUUAUGGAAUAUCACAUAAGGACACACCUGAUAUUUCAUUGAUAAAGGGAACUUUCAGAUGAGAAAACUGAAGCUCAAAAAGAUGGACACUCAUGCCCCUGGUCACAUGGCUAAAAGUGGGGCAUCUUGGGUGCAAAUUGAGAUAUUAUGAUUCCCAGAUGACUGUGAACACUUGGAGGGCAAGAAUGGUCUUUUUACCUUUCUCCGUAACCCCAGCACUUAACAUAAACCAUGGCACAUAGUAAGCAUUUAAUUAAUAUGUGUUGACUGAAUGACCCUUUUAGUGAAGCAGUA
This is a long non-coding RNA of Phascolarctos cinereus (koala), 518 nucleotides long. RefSeq lists it as uncharacterized. The record is from RefSeq and is a predicted model, not a curated record. Lineage: Eukaryota; Metazoa; Chordata; Mammalia; Diprotodontia; Phascolarctidae.